This 75-nucleotide transfer RNA is filed under the name Deinococcus radiotolerans. RNAcentral's name for it is "tRNA-Gly". It matches the Rfam family "tRNA". Rfam says of the family: Transfer RNA (tRNA) molecules are approximately 80 nucleotides in length. Lineage: Bacteria; Thermotogati; Deinococcota; Deinococci; Deinococcales; Deinococcaceae. The record is from RNAcentral.
GCAGAUGUCGUCCAGCAGUCAGGAUUUCUCGUUGCCAACGAGAGGACGGUGGUGCAACUCCAUCCAUCUGCUCCA